This 751-nucleotide long non-coding RNA is filed under the name Monodelphis domestica (gray short-tailed opossum). RNAcentral's name for it is "lncRNA (ENSMODG00000047320.1)". Lineage: Eukaryota; Metazoa; Chordata; Mammalia; Didelphimorphia; Didelphidae. The record is from RNAcentral.
AGAUGAAGACAUUUCAUCUCUACUCUCUGAGGAUAGAAGAAGCAGGGAACUAAAUUGCAGAAUCUGUUCAAGAAGAGGACCGGUGGCAUCAUGAGGGUGAUGUCUUGACUUUCGAGUGAAUUGGAUGUAAGUGAGGCAGAAUUGCACAAAGUCAUUGGCCUCCGUCUCUCUUCCAGAGUCAUAGAAGUCCUGUAGAAAAGCAAAAGUCAGGAUGGUGGGUGAUGGUCUAGAAUGCAGUGGAUGACCUUAGAAUCUUGGAUGUCUGUCUAAGCUCGAGGGGGCUUGACAUUGACUGCUUCAGCCACUUCCUUGACUGUCGGAGCCAAUUGUUCUCAUCUGCCUUUCUUCCAAGAGAAGUCUUCGAAUGCUUGGGAUGGACGUUCUCUUAGCUCACUAAUGGGAUUUUGUAGCCUGCCUACUUGAGAGGAUUUUACCUGGAUAUGGCUGUUGGGCACAUUAUAGCUUCUUGGAGCCACAGUAGACAAACCAGAUUCUCUGGGGCAAGUAAAUGCAUGCACAGUUUGUACUUCAGAUUAAAAGUGUCUUCCUCAAAACAGUAUCUGAGAAGUUGGAAAAGACAAAUUGGAAGAAAUCCAGAGAAAAGGAACAGAAGAGGUGAACUGUUAUGAGUAUAAAAUACAAUAAUAUUUGAAAAGUAUUUUAAAGUCUUAAAAUACUAUAUAAAAUCUAAAUAUUAUAAUUAUAAUUAGAGUUAUUACUAAGACUUCAGAUAUGACCUGCCUAGGGCAGA